This 449-nucleotide ribosomal RNA is filed under the name uncultured bacterium. RNAcentral describes it as "partial 16S ribosomal RNA". It matches the Rfam family "Bacterial small subunit ribosomal RNA", at positions 354 to 796 of the family's 1533-position model. The record is from RNAcentral.
GUGGGGAAUUUUGGACAAUGGGGGCAACCCUGAUCCAGCAAUGCCGCGUGCAGGAAGAAGGCCUUCGGGUUGUAAACUGCUUUUGUACGGAACGAAACGGUCCUGGUUAAUACCUGGGGCUAAUGACGGUACCGUAAGAAUAAGCACCGGCUAACUACGUGCCAGCAGCCGCGGUAAUACGUAGGGUGCAAGCGUUAAUCGGAAUUACUGGGCGUAAAGCGUGCGCAGGCGGUUUUGUAAGACAGGCGUGAAAUCCCCGGGCUCAACCUGGGAAUGGCGCUUGUGACUGCAAGGCUGGAGUGCGGCAGAGGGGGAUGGAAUUCCGCGUGUAGCAGUGAAAUGCGUAGAUAUGCGGAGGAACACCGAUGGCGAAGGCAAUCCCCUGGGCCUGCACUGACGCUCAUGCACGAAAGCGUGGGGAGCAAACAGGAUUAGAAACCUAGUAGUCC